This 375-nucleotide ribosomal RNA is filed under the name uncultured organism. Its description in RNAcentral is "partial 16S ribosomal RNA". It matches the Rfam family "Bacterial small subunit ribosomal RNA", at positions 527 to 896 of the family's 1533-position model. The record is from RNAcentral.
GUAGGUGGCAAGCGUUGUCCGGAAUUAUUGGGCGUAAAGCGCGCGCAGGCGGUUCUUUAAGUCUGAUGUGAAAGCCCACGGCUCAACCGUGGAGGGUCAUUGGAAACUGGAGAACUUGAGUACAGAAGAGGAAAGCGGAAUUCCACGUGUAGCGGUGAAAUGCGUAGAGAUGUGGAGGAACACCAGUGGCGAAGGCGGCUUUCUGGUCUGUAACUGACGCUGAGGCGCGAAAGCGUGGGGAGCAAACAGGGAUUAGAUACCCUGGUAGUCCACGCCGUAAACGAUGAGUGCUAAGCGUUAGGGGGUUUCCGCCCCCUUAGUGCUGCAGCUAACGCAUUAAGCACCCCCGCCUGGGGGAGUACGGCCGCAAGGCUG